RNAcentral lists this long non-coding RNA (648 nucleotides) under Salmo salar (Atlantic salmon). RNAcentral describes it as "lncRNA (ENSSSAG00000092931.1)". Lineage: Eukaryota; Metazoa; Chordata; Actinopteri; Salmoniformes; Salmonidae. The record is from RNAcentral.
CAGGUGGUUUAAUACCAGCAGCAUUAACAGGAUGUAAAGCAACCAGGUGGUUUAAUACCAGCAGCAUUAACAGGAUGUAAAGUAACCAGGUGGUUUAAUACCAGCAGCAUUAACAGGAUGUAAAGUAACCAGGUGGUUUAAUACCAGCAGCAUUAACAGGAUGUAAAGCAACCAGGUGGUUUAAUACCAGCAGCAUUAACAGGAUGUAAAGCAACCAGGUGGUUUAAUACCAGCAGCAUUAACAGGAUGUAAAGCAACCAGGUGGUUUAAUACCAGCAGCAUUAACAGGAUGUAAAGUAACCAGGUGGUUUAAUACCAGCAGCAUUAACAGGAUGUAAAGCAACCAGGUGGUUUAAUACCAGCAGCAUUAACAGGAUGUAAAGUAACCAGGUGGUUUAAUACCAGCAGCAUUAACAGGAUGUAAAGUAACCAGGUGGUUUAAUACCAGCAGCAUUAACAGGAUGUAAAGUAACCAGGUGGUAUAAUACCAGCAGCAUUAACAGGAUGUAAAGCAACCAGGUGGUUUAAUACCAGCAGCAUUAACAGGAUGUAAAGCAACCAGGUGGUUUAAUACCAGCAGCAUUAACAGGAUGUAAAGCAACCAGGUGGUUUAAUACCAGCAGCAUUAACAGGAUGUAAAGUAACCAG